AAAAUGGGGAAGUGACUGAGCAUUUUAUUUAAGGAGUUGCUGAUUUGCUGCCAUGGCACCCUCGCAGCUCAUUUUGUUGGUUUCCAGAGUUGUCGGUCAGCCAGAAUGUGAGCUGAAGAAGCUAGCUUAGAAUCCAUCAUUCUUCUUUAUUGGUAAUCAAGUUUUGUUAUUGCUUGAUCGAAGAAAUAUUGUCGGUAACUUGUGAAACCGAUUAACCGCGACUUGUCUUGCAUUUACCGUUGAAAAAAUAAAGUAUAUAGUUACGGUGAUUUAGUAUAAUUGAGAUUAUUGCAGAUUAUUGAAACUGAA
Carica papaya (papaya) is the source of this 309-nucleotide non-coding RNA. The record is from RefSeq and is a predicted model, not a curated record. Lineage: Eukaryota; Viridiplantae; Streptophyta; Magnoliopsida; Brassicales; Caricaceae.